RNAcentral lists this long non-coding RNA (437 nucleotides) under Elaeis guineensis (African oil palm). Its description in RNAcentral is "long non-coding RNA (EGUI_LNC018765)". The record is from RNAcentral. Lineage: Eukaryota; Viridiplantae; Streptophyta; Magnoliopsida; Arecales; Arecaceae.
CAUGAUGCACUGAAUGUGGAAAUAUAAUUUCCCAUGGAAAAGAUCCCUCAGCUUUUCCCAUGAAGCUGGCAGCUGAGUACGUGACAAAAUUUCGGCGCUAGACCCGACUGUCAUGGGCUCUUCCAGCAGCAUAGUUAGUGGAUCCGAUCCUGAUCGUCCAAUUAAUGCCCAUCGGGAUCAGUCUCGCCGAAAUAGUGUCCCUACGCUGCGUGCACCCUUGGCCAUGCACUCAAAUAAUCACAAUCGUUUAUUUUUAUAAUGAUGCAUCCAGAUGAAUAUGAUUCAUAAAAAUAAGUGAUUAUCAUAGGCAGUGUAAGAUAUAGUUUUUUUGAUAAAAAAAAUCCGUAAUGAAAAAUUUUAUCCACUAUAUAUAAUGUGUAACAUGUGUCUGCGUGCGCGCUACAAUUAUAAUUAUUUAUUGUUUUCGAUGCCAUGGC